UCGAACCAAAACUUCUUGUAACUUGGGUAACAAUGAUGCAUUGCCAAAUGACACUUACUGUCUAUAACAUUAGAAAUAUUCUAAUAUUACUGCUAAUGUUGCAAGAUCCUACAGGGUCACACCCUAUAAUUAAAACGAUUGGAAUACGUAGAAAGAUAGGGUUAUAUUUAACUUGAUGCUCAAAUUAUAUUUGUGAUACCCAAUUGUUGCCCGGGGCCCAAAACCAUUUGCACAGCCCAAAUCAAAUACUAAAAUUAAAUACAAUUGAUCCCAAUAAAACUUGGGCCAAGCUAAACCCAAUUCCAGGGCCCAAUUGACCUAAAACAGCAGAAACCCUAGCAGCAACUAGUAGCACCACAUGCCCCACGUUCGGCAGCCUCCACAUCGUCCCACGUUCAGCACUCCGCGCAUGCCAUACGCUCGUACCUGCAACAACCACGAACUGUAAAGGGUGGAAAAGAGGUUUUCGGAGGUUUUUCUUUUGGUUAUUUUGGCUAUUUAAAGUCAAAUCGAAUCUGUAAGAGGGGUUAGCAAACUUUUGUUAGAAAAAUUUUGUAUUGAAAAAUAUCAAAGAAAAUACAAAAGAGAAAGAAACAAAAAAUAUUUUUGAAGGUAUCUCGUUUUGUUUUUUUUUUUUUUUUUAGAAUCUGUGGGAUUAUUGUUCUUUUUCUUUUUUUUAUUUUCUGUUAUAAAACAAAAACAAAAGGGAAAGCAAAGGAGAGCGUCCUCGUUUCGUCGUCAUCUGGUCGGACAUGGGAGGGGACCGGAACGGCGGAGGAGAACUGCUGCGGCGCGAUUUUGAAUGGCAGAGGAGUUCUCUUUUAGGGGUUUGAAAUGGGUUUUAUUG
RNAcentral lists this long non-coding RNA (847 nucleotides) under Gossypium raimondii (Peruvian cotton). Its description in RNAcentral is "long non-coding RNA (GRAI_LNC010108)". The record is from RNAcentral. Lineage: Eukaryota; Viridiplantae; Streptophyta; Magnoliopsida; Malvales; Malvaceae.